RNAcentral lists this ribosomal RNA (468 nucleotides) under uncultured bacterium. RNAcentral describes it as "partial 16S ribosomal RNA". It matches the Rfam family "Bacterial small subunit ribosomal RNA", at positions 28 to 507 of the family's 1533-position model. The record is from RNAcentral.
GACGAACGCUGGCGGCGUGCUUAACACAUGCAAGUCGAACGGAAAGGCCCUGCUUUUGUGGGGUGCUCGAGUGGCGAACGGGUGAGUAACACGUGAGUAACCUGCCCUUGACUUGGGGAUAACUUCAGGAAACUGGGGCUAAUACCGGAUAGGAGCUCCUGCUGCAUGGUGGGGGUUGGAAAGUUUCGGCGGUUGGGGAUGGACUCGCGGCUUAUCAGCUUGUUGGUGGGGUAGUGGCUUACCAAGGCUUUGACGGGUAGCCGGCCUGAGAGGGUGACCGGCAACAUUGGGACUGAGAUACGGCCCAGACUCCUACGGGAGGCAGCAGUGGGGAAUAUUGCACAAUGGGCGGAAGCCUGAUGCAGCAACGCCGCGUGCGGGAUGAAGGCCUUCGGGUUGUAAACCGCUUUCGCCUGUGACGAAGCGUGAGUGACGGUAAUGGGUAAAGAAGCACCGGCUAACUACGUG